This 65-nucleotide transfer RNA is filed under the name Pteropus alecto (black flying fox). It matches the Rfam family "tRNA". From Rfam's summary of the family: Transfer RNA (tRNA) molecules are approximately 80 nucleotides in length. Their secondary structure includes four short double-helical elements and three loops (D, anti-codon, and T loops). The record is from Rfam by way of RNAcentral. Lineage: Eukaryota; Metazoa; Chordata; Mammalia; Chiroptera; Pteropodidae. RNAcentral also lists the same sequence under 1 other name.
GGCUCCAUAGUGUAGUGGUUAGCACGUCUGCUUUAUACACAGAGUUUGCGCCCCAGGUGGAGCCA